AAAGGAAUUGACGGGGGCCCGCACAAGCAGCGGAGCGUGUGGUUUAAUUCGAUGAUACACGAAGAACCUUACCAGGGUUUGACAUGCAAGUGGUAGGGAUCCGAAAGGUGACCGACCCUUCGGGGAGCUUGCACAGGUGCUGCAUGGCUGUCGUCAGCUCGUGUCGUGAGAUGUUCGGUUAAGUCCGCUAACGAGCGCAACCCUCGCCGUGUGUUACAAGUGUCACGCGGGACCGCCGGUCUUAAGCCGGAGGAAGGUGGGGAUGACGUCAAGUCAGCAUGGCCUUUAUGUCCUGGGCUACACACACGCUACAAUGGCCAGUACAACAGGUAGCGAAGUCGCGAGGCGGAGCCAAUCCUCAAAGCUGGUCUCAGUUCAGAUCGCAGGCUGCAACUCGCCUACGUGAAGAUGGAGUUGCUAGUAACCGCAGGUCAGCUAUACUGCGGUGAAUACGUUCCCGGGCCUUGUACACACCGCCCGU
This 481-nucleotide ribosomal RNA is filed under the name uncultured bacterium. RNAcentral describes it as "bacterial SSU rRNA". It matches the Rfam family "Bacterial small subunit ribosomal RNA", at positions 903 to 1397 of the family's 1533-position model. The record is from RNAcentral.